UUUUGUGAUGAACAUUUUCUUUGCUUCGGCAAGUUGGAAUUACCGACUGAUCUCACCUUGAAGAAAACAACUGGCUGUUUCUGAUC
This 86-nucleotide small nucleolar RNA is filed under the name Madurella mycetomatis. RNAcentral's name for it is "A. fumigatus snoRNA Afu_300". It matches the Rfam family "A. fumigatus snoRNA Afu_300". The record is from Rfam by way of RNAcentral. Lineage: Eukaryota; Fungi; Ascomycota; Sordariomycetes; Sordariales.